UUGACCUCGGAUCAGGUAGAUGC
RNAcentral lists this ribosomal RNA (23 nucleotides) under Comoclathris italica. Its description in RNAcentral is "partial 28S ribosomal RNA". Lineage: Eukaryota; Fungi; Ascomycota; Dothideomycetes; Pleosporales; Pleosporaceae. The record is from RNAcentral.